This 2008-nucleotide long non-coding RNA is filed under the name Olea europaea subsp. europaea. The record is from RNAcentral. Lineage: Eukaryota; Viridiplantae; Streptophyta; Magnoliopsida; Lamiales; Oleaceae.
AGACAUGCUGCCAUAGGAUGCACCAUUGGCGAGCAUCUCGAGCGGAGAGAUGUCCCACUGAGAAAUAAUUAUCGACUUUCCUCGAUGAUUCUCAUAUGAGUAUUAUAAAUUUGUGAUUUAUAUUGUAUAUAGUUUAACAUUACAUGAUUUUAUCUUUUUAAAAUGUCAAUAUGUCAGCGUGAAGUAAUAACUCAUUUGAUGUUGUCGAUGGAGGAGGAGGCACAGGGUCUCGUGCAUGAAGUAACGGUUCCGUACACCUAAGACGACUAGAUGUCUGAUUCGAUCUCCGAUCGAAACUGGGUAAGUGAAUUAUUGAUUAAUAUUUUGUAUGAGUUAGCAAUUAUUGAAUAAGUUAAUAAUAUGUAAGUUUGUACAGGACCGCGAGCCAGUUGAUCAAGCAUCACCUUCGCCGGCAGCAUCACCUCCGCCCAGGGCAUCACCUUCGCCACCGUCAUCACUUUCUCACCCUCAGGGUGAUUAUUCUGAUGAUUUGUACCAUCGCCUGACUAGAUUUAUGGUGCAAGAGGUUGGCGUGCUACGUUGAGAGCUAGGAAGAGUUAUAUCAGGGAAGGUCGGCGCGCUGCGUCGAGAGCUGAUAGGAGUUAUAUCAGAGGAGGUCGGCGUGCUGCGUCAAGAUAUGGUGGAACGGGUCGAUGAUCUAGGACGUCAGCUAGUAGGGAGGUCGAGGAUAUAGCUGAUGAUGUUAAAGUGCUGCGCGAGCAUUUAGAGGACCUUCAUGAUGAGGUGAUAGCACUUCGAGGUGACAUAGCAAGCAAACGAUGGGUGGACGGAGGUGAUGAUCGGGGGUUGAUCGAGAGGAUAGAGAUGGGGGUCACCCACAGUCGUGGUUGGAGAAUGCAUGUGACUCCUUUCUUCAGUCCAUAGAGGAUAGGGUGGACCCGAAGGCGGAGGUGGUGGCCUCGUUGGGGACAUGAACGACGGUCGAGGAGGUGGUGCCGACGAUAACGGAUGAGGAGUAGAGGAGGUGGUGUUGACGCGGGUGAAUGAAGUGGUGGGCCCCUCAGGAUGGGAGCUAUGGUUGAGAAGGUGGUGACAACGGGAGCGGAAGAGGAGGAGAGCGUGGAGGAGGUGGCGAUUGUCGGGGCAGAAGAGGGGACAAUGCUCGAGGUGGGCAAGGAGAGGAUGACAGUCGUGACUGGGGUAAAAAAGCAUGUUGUUGACAUGCUGGAACUUGUGGUAGGCAAGAGGUCAAGAGUGCCGUCAUAGUACAUUGUCUCUCCCUUUACGGCUGAUACAAAGAUGAGGAGGUUCGUCGAUGGGACGAUCCCCAACCUAUUUCGGGAAGUGGACCAUGCCAAGUAGAAAGCGUUUGAGAUAGAGUGGAGAAGAAUGUUGUCCGGGCUAGUAUUCAUGAUAUUAGUGAUAUUAGUAAAUACCAGUGAUCGUUACUCGUAUACACUUUUUUAACAUUUCUCUGUUUCUUUUGUCAGGACCAGCCGUACGAUCGAUACUGUGAUGAUCUCUAAUACUUAUAAGUGGUUCCACGACAUCAUCACUUCAUGAGCUUGGCUUACCGACGAUAUAAUGUUAAUUUUUAUGACUUGUAUAUCAUUUGUUUAUGCAAUGAAAUAACUCCUGGCCGAGUCAUACUCAAUUUGGAGUUCGGACAAAGCGUUGACAUUGAGUACCAGUCGCUCCAACAUGUCGGCAAGGAGUACGCAGUGCCCGACUACAUGCUCGAGUGGACCAUAGGGAUGUGGCCAAGUGUCGAGGGGAAGUCAUGGGAGAGUUGUACACAUAUGUACGUACCAGUGAUCGUGAAUCAUCACUGGAUAGCCUUGGAGAUUGUGUUCACUGAGUCUACUAUAUACAUAUACAAUCCCGAUCAUUCAUGUCUGACACAGGGUCAGUUCAAGCAAAAAUCUGAAGUACAUUGCUGUUUUUGUCCCUAUGAUGGCUAGACAGACGGGAUUGACUGUGAAGGACAGAUUAGCCAUCGUGCUGGACAUGACCAUGGCAAGGCAGACAAUAUUGUAAGUGGUUCUAA